UUCAACAUCUAGUAUCCAUUGUUUACGGCUAGGACUACUGGGGUAUCUAAUCCCAUUUGCUACCCUAGCUUUCGUCUCUGAGUGUCAGUAAUAGCCCAGUAAAGUGCCUUCGCCAUCGGUGUUCUUUCCAAUCUCUACGCAUUUCACCGCUCCACUGGAAAUUCCCUUUACCCCUACUAUACUCUAGUCUAAUAGUUUCGACUGCGAUUUUGAGGUUGAGCCUCAAGAUUUAACAGUUGACUUAUUAAACCACCUACAGACGCUUUACGCCCAGUGAUUCCGGAUAACACUUGCAUCCUCCGUAUUACCGCGGCUGCUGGCACGGAGUUAGCCGAUGCUUAUUCUUCAGGUAACGUCAUUUAUUCCUCCCUGAAAAAAGAGGUUUACAACCCAUAGGCAGUCAUCCCUCACGCGAGAUUGCUCCGUCAGGCUUUCGCCCAUUGCGGAAGAUUCCCCACUGCUGCCUCCCGUAGGAGUCUGGACCGUGUCUCAGUUCCAGUGUGUCUGAUCGUCCUCUCAAACCAGAUACUGAUCGCCGCCUUGGUGAGCCAUUACCUCACCAACAAGCUAAUCAGCCGCAAGCUUCUCUCUAGGCGGAUAUAAUCCAUUUCACUCGAAAGCAUAUGGGGUAUUAGCAACCGUUUCCAGUUGUUGUCCCCCUCCUAAAGGCAAAUUCUUACGUGUUACUCACCCGUCCGCCACUUGAAUCAAAGAUUCUCGUAUGACUUGCAUGUGUAAAGCAUCUCGCUAGCGUUCAUCCUGAGCCAGGAUCAAACUCU
RNAcentral lists this ribosomal RNA (779 nucleotides) under uncultured bacterium. Its description in RNAcentral is "partial 16S ribosomal RNA". The record is from RNAcentral.